This 439-nucleotide ribosomal RNA is filed under the name Breviceps adspersus (bushveld rain frog). RNAcentral's name for it is "partial 16S ribosomal RNA". It matches the Rfam family "Bacterial large subunit ribosomal RNA", at positions 1923 to 2529 of the family's 2925-position model. Lineage: Eukaryota; Metazoa; Chordata; Amphibia; Anura; Brevicipitidae. The record is from RNAcentral.
UUAAAUGGCCGCGGUACCCUAACCGUGCAAAGGUAGCGUAAUCACUUGUCUACUAAAUAUAGACCUGUAUGAACGGCACCACGAGGGCCACACUGUCUCCCCCCUUUAAUCAGUAAAACUGAUCCCCCCGUGAAGAAGCGGGGAUUCAAAUACAAGACGAGAAGACCCCAUGGAGCUUUAAACCAAGAGUCAACUGCUAAAUUUUAUAUCAUAAAUACCUCAAUCAUGACUCAAAGUUUUCGGUUGGGGCGACCGCGGAGCAUAACAAAACCUCCACGAUGAAAGAACAUAAAAUUCUUACCCAAGAACCACACCACAAAGGACCACAAAUGUGACAUCCAUUGACCCAAAAAGCUUGAUCAACGAACCUAGUUACCCUGGGGAUAACAGCGCAAUCCAUUUCAAGAGCCCAUAUCGACAAAUGGGUUUACGACCUCGA